UUAUUGGAGAGUUUGAUCCUGGCUCAGGACGAACGCUGGCGGCGUGCCUAAUACAUGCAAGUCGAGCGAGUCUCUUCGGAGGCUAGCGGCGGACGGGUGAGUAACACGUAGGCAACCUGCCUCUCAGACUGGGAUAACAAAGGGAAACUUAUGCUAAUACCGGAUAGGU
RNAcentral lists this ribosomal RNA (169 nucleotides) under Brevibacillus sp. Leaf182. RNAcentral's name for it is "partial 16S ribosomal RNA". It matches the Rfam family "Bacterial small subunit ribosomal RNA", at positions 1 to 178 of the family's 1533-position model. The record is from RNAcentral. Lineage: Bacteria; Bacillati; Bacillota; Bacilli; Caryophanales; Paenibacillaceae.